UGGGAGCCGCUGUGUGCGGUGGCCGCGGGCCUUGUUCAUUAUGAGCCGACGAGUUGCUCAUCACCGGCAAGAUUAAGGGCUUGGAAGUCCGGAGUCGAAGCGAAAGCGAGUCUGAAUAGGGCGUAAAGUCGGUGGUGGUAGACGCGAAACCUUGCGAUCUACCCAUGGCCAGGAUGAAGGUGAGGUAGCACUCACUGGAGGUCCGCACCAGUAAACGUUGAAAAGUUUUUGGAUGAGCUGUGGGUAGGGGUGAAAGGCUAAUCAAGCUGGGAAAUAGCUCGUACUCCCCGAAAUGCCUUUAGGGGCAGCCUCGGGAAAGGGACACGGAGGUAGAGCUACUGAUAGGCUGCGGGGGCUUCACCGCCUACCAAAUCCUGACAAACUCCGAAUACCGUGUUACUGCUUUCCGGGAGUGAGCCAUCGGGUGCUAACGUCCGGUGACAAAAGAGGAACAACUCAGACCAUCAUCUAAGGCCCCAAAGCGUAUGCUAAGUUGAACUAACGAUGUGCGGUAGCAGCGACAGCUAGGAUGUUAGCUUGGAAGCAGCUAUUCAUUUAAAGAGUGCGUAACAGCUCACUAGUCGAGCGACUGUGCGUGGAUAAUAAACGGGCAUCAAGCAUACCGCCGAAGCUAUGGACUAUAUCGAAAGAUGUAUUGGUAGGGGAGCAUUCCAACGACGAAGAAGCAGUCUCGUAAGGGGUUGUGGAGUUUUUGGAAAAGCAAAUGUAGGCAUAAGUAACGAUAAGGCAGGCGAGAAACCUGCCCACCGCAAGACCCAGGUUUCCUGAACAACGUUAAUCGGUUCAGGGUUAGUCGGGACCUAAGGAUAAGCCGAGAGGCGAUUUCGAUGGACAAAGGGUUAAUAUUCCCUUACAGACUAUCACUGCGAAGGAGAGACGAAGGAGUGACAAUCCUGCCGCCUGACGGAAUAGGUGGUUAAAGAGUGUAGAUAAAGGCGUUCGUUAAAAGCGGAUGCUUGUCGAACUUGAUAGUACGGAGAUGCUACGGCAGAUUCGAUAAUGGAUGUAAUCAGACUUCCGAGAAAAACUUCUAAGCUACAGGUGAUAGUUUCCCGUACCGUAAACCGACACAGGUGGUCGAGGAGAGUAUCCUCAGGUGCUCGAGUGAUUCAUGGUUAAGGAACUAGGCAAAAUGACUCCGUAACUUAGGGAAAAGGAGUCCUCAUAGAGAUAUGAGGGACAGCAAAGAGGUCCAGGCGACUGUUUAACAAAAACAUAGGGCUAUGCUAAUUCGUAAGACGAAGUAUAUGGCCUGACACCUGCCCGGUGCUGGAAGGUUAAGAGGGGAUGUCAGUCGCAAGAUGCAGCAUUGAAUCGAAGCCCCAGUAAACGGCGGCCGUAACUAUAACGGUCCUAAGGUAGCGAAAUUCCUUGUCGGGUAA
This 1403-nucleotide ribosomal RNA is filed under the name human gut metagenome. RNAcentral describes it as "bacterial LSU rRNA". It matches the Rfam family "Bacterial large subunit ribosomal RNA", at positions 574 to 1979 of the family's 2925-position model. The record is from RNAcentral.